RNAcentral lists this ribosomal RNA (492 nucleotides) under uncultured bacterium. RNAcentral describes it as "partial 16S ribosomal RNA". It matches the Rfam family "Bacterial small subunit ribosomal RNA", at positions 29 to 507 of the family's 1533-position model. The record is from RNAcentral.
AGUGAACGCUGGCGGUAGGCCUAACACAUGCAAGUCGAACGGCAGCACAGUAAGAGCUUGCUCUUACGGGUGGCGAGUGGCGGACGGGUGAGGAAUACAUCGGAAUCUACUUUUUCGUGGGGGAUAACGUAGGGAAACUUACGCUAAUACCGCAUACGACCUACGGGUGAAAGCAGGGGAUCUUCGGACCUUGCGCGAUUGAAUGAGCCGAUGUCGGACUAGCUAGUUGGCGGGGUAAAGGCCCACCAAGGCGACGAUCCGUAGCUGGUCUGAGAGGAUGGGCAGCCACACUGGAACUGAGACACGGUCCAGACCGCUACGGGAGGCAGCAGUGGGGAAUAUUGGACAAAGGGGGAAAGCCUGAUCCAGCCAUACCGCGUGGGGGAGGAAGGCCUUCGGGUUGUAAAGCCCUGUUGUUGGGAAAGAAAAGCAGCAGGGUAAGACACCGCUGGUCUGACGUUACCCAAAGAAUAAGCACCGGCUAACUUCGUG